GUCCUUUUGAAUGUAUUUAAGGUCUGACCUGCCCAGUGAUUUAUUUUAACGGCCGCGGUAUAUUGACCGUGCAAAGGUAGCAUAAUCAUUAGUCUUUUAAAAGAGGGCUGGAAUGAAAGGUUUGACGAGGUAUUAACUGUCUCAUUUUAUUUGUAUUUAGAAUUUAACUUUUUAGUCAAAAGGCUUAAAUUUAAUUGGAAGACGAGAAGACCCUAUAGAGCUUUAUAGUAAUUAUUUUAAUUAUAAAUAUAUAAUUUUUAACUAGAUAUUUUACUAUUUUGUUGGGGUGACAGAAAAAUAAAAUUAACUUUUUUAUUUAUAAACAUUAAUUUAUGGUUAGUUGAUCCAUUAUUAUUGAUUAUUAGAUUAAGUUACCUUAGGGAUAACAGCGUAAUCCCCUUCCAGAGUUCAUAUUUACGAGUGGGGCUUGCGACCUCGAUGUUGGAUUAAGAUAAUAAUUAGGUGUAGCCGCUUAAUUUAUAGGUCUGUUCGACCUUUAAAUUCUU
RNAcentral lists this ribosomal RNA (506 nucleotides) under Somatochlora uchidai. Its description in RNAcentral is "partial 16S rRNA". It matches the Rfam family "Bacterial large subunit ribosomal RNA", at positions 1829 to 2597 of the family's 2925-position model. Lineage: Eukaryota; Metazoa; Arthropoda; Insecta; Odonata; Corduliidae. The record is from RNAcentral.